Nilaparvata lugens (brown planthopper) is the source of this 1359-nucleotide long non-coding RNA. RefSeq lists it as uncharacterized. NCBI's taxonomy places the organism in Eukaryota, Metazoa, Arthropoda, Insecta, Hemiptera, Delphacidae. The record is from RefSeq and is a predicted model, not a curated record. The transcript has 4 exons.
GCCUUUGCUAGUUGGCGGGGUUUAGCCUCUAGCCUUUGCUAGUUGGCGGGGUGAAGCCUCUAGCCUUUGCUAGUUGGCGGGGAGAAUGGAAAUCACCGCUAUCUUGUGAUAGCUUCGGGUUAAUCUUAUUUCUAACCUAAUUUUAAGUCUUAACUUGCAUGCAAUUUACUUUAUAGGUGACACUAUCCUAUCGGUAGAGGAAGUGCACAAGUUAUUUUGCAUCAAAGAGGGUGUAUCACCCUUGGAGAUGCUGGGAAGUGGAGAUAUUCUUGAGAAAUUCAAGAGUUCUCUACUACUCUACUCUACUGAGUAUCUUUGAGAGUGAGAAACUCUCAUAGAUACUGUAGAGUACAACAUUCACUCCUGGCGGUCCUUAGUUUACUGAUAAGUUCAAUCUAUGAUUUGGCAACUAUUUAUCUACAUUUUGUUGAUACUUCAAAAUUAGAGAUAUUCUUGAGAAAUUCAAGGGUUCUCUGAUGAGUAUGAUUGAGAGUAAGAAACUCUUAUUGAUACUGUAUUGUACAAACGUUCACUCCUGUUGAUUCAGGUAUUGCCUUUGUUUAGUCCAAGUUAAGAUUUGUAAAUCUUCAUCAAAAUUAUAUAAAAUUGCUUUGUUUUACAAUUGCGUUACAAGUUUGUUACAGCUUAGCCUACCUCUAGAAUCCAAGUGCACCAUUGUGGAUAUUUCUCAAAAGGAAUGAAGUGAAACUGAACACAAAUCUAUGUAGAUACAUGUGGAUUAUUAUGGAGAUGCCACCAGCUAUUCAAUGCAUUGGAGAGCAGUUCUUCUACCAAAGUGGACAUGUGGAUCACAGGAUGUGUUUGUUACAGCUUAGCCUACCUCUAGAAUCCAAGUGCACCAUUGUGGAUAUUUCUCAAAAGGAAUGAAGUGAAACUGAACACAAAUCUAUGUAGAUACAUGUGGAUUAUUAUGGAGAUGCCACCAGCUAUUCAAUGCAUUGGAGAGCAGUUCUUCUACCAAAGUGGACAUGUGGAUCACAGGAUGUGGUAUGAGAUAUCUGGUACACAUAUAUUCAGUUAUUAAGACAGGAUAGAAUUCUCUAACACUUCCCUAUUCUAACACAGAUAUCAAGCUAGGGCCGGGAUGUUUAAGGUGGUUACUAUUAUGACACAGUUAAUCCUGACCCUUUCGGCAGUGCCUUGUUCUAUCCGGUUGGUUCUGAGUCCAAUGGGUGCUUUCAAGUUAGAGUCAACUGACCUGCAGAUCGCAUUUCCGCGUGCCAACAACUGGACGAACAUGUGCCACUGUUUGAUUGUGGUUUAUGGAUGGCUGUGGAGUAAGACAAUCACCUUGAAUUGGGUUUGAGUUGUCAGGGUCCACGUAGGAUAUUUGCAGUU